GAUGAACGCUAGCUACAGGCUUAACACAUGCAAGUCGAGGGGCAGCACGGAGAUAGCUUGCUAUCUUGGGUGGCGACCGGCGCACGGGUGAGUAACGCGUAUCCAACCUGCCCAUUACUCUGGGAUAGCCUUGCGAAAGUAAGAUUAAUACCGGAUGUUGUUAAAAACCCGCAUGAGUUUUUAACCAAAGAUUUAUUGGUAAUGGAUGGGGAUGCGUGACAUUAGGUAGUUGGUGAGGUAACGGCUCACCAAGCCUACGAUGUCUAGGGGUUCUGAGAGGAAGGUCCCCCACACUGGAACUGAGACACGGUCUAGACUCCUACGGGAGGCAGCAGUGAGGAAUAUUGGUCAAUGGUCUGACGACUGAACCAGCCAUGCCGCGUGAAGGUCACGGCCCUAUGGGUCUUAAACUUCUUUUGCGAGGGAGCAAUAAGGUCUACGUGUAGUCCGAUGAGAGUACCUCGCGAAUAAGCAUCGGCUAACUCCGUGCCAGCAGCCG
Molecule: ribosomal RNA, 499 nt
Filed under: uncultured bacterium
Lineage: Bacteria
Description: bacterial SSU rRNA
Rfam family: Bacterial small subunit ribosomal RNA
Source: RNAcentral